AAUCAGUGAUGAAACCUAUCCCGAAACUGAUUGCCUGAAGAAAAGCAUAUACGGAUUCGGCUUCUGAGAU
RNAcentral lists this small nucleolar RNA (70 nucleotides) under Prolemur simus (greater bamboo lemur). Its description in RNAcentral is "Small nucleolar RNA SNORD50 (ENSPSMG00000023861.1)". It matches the Rfam family "Small nucleolar RNA SNORD50". Rfam says of the family: U50 belongs to the C/D class of snoRNA which contain the C (UGAUGA) and D (CUGA) box motifs. Most of the members of the box C/D family function in directing site-specific 2'-O-methylation of substrate RNAs. The record is from Rfam by way of RNAcentral. Lineage: Eukaryota; Metazoa; Chordata; Mammalia; Primates; Lemuridae.